GAUGAACGCUGGCGGCGUGCCUAAUACAUGCAAGUCGAGCGAACAGAUGAGGAGCUUGCUCCUCUGACGUUAGCGGCGGACGGGUGAGUAACACGUGGAUAACCUACCUAUAAGACUGGGAUAACUUCGGGAAACCGGAGCUAAUACCGAAUAAUAUAUUGAACCGCAUGGUUCAAUAGUGAAAGACGGUUUUGCUGUCACUUAUAGAUGGAUCCGCGCCGCAUUAGCUGGUUGGUAAGGUAACGGCUUACCAAGGCAACGAUGCGUAGCCGACCUGAGAGGGUGAUCGGCCACACUGGAACUGAGACACGGUCCAGACUCCUACGGGAGGCAGCAGUAGGGAAUCUUCCGCAAUGGGCGAAAGCCUGACGGAGCAACGCCGCGUGAGUGAUGAAGGUCUUCGGAUCGUAAAACUCUGUUAUUAGGGAAGAACAAAUGUGUAAGUAACUAUGCACGUCUUGACGGUACCUAAUCAGAAAGCCACGGCUAACUACGUG
This 497-nucleotide ribosomal RNA is filed under the name uncultured bacterium. RNAcentral describes it as "partial 16S ribosomal RNA". It matches the Rfam family "Bacterial small subunit ribosomal RNA", at positions 28 to 507 of the family's 1533-position model. The record is from RNAcentral.